This 253-nucleotide ribosomal RNA is filed under the name uncultured bacterium. RNAcentral describes it as "partial 16S ribosomal RNA". It matches the Rfam family "Bacterial small subunit ribosomal RNA", at positions 524 to 776 of the family's 1533-position model. The record is from RNAcentral.
UACGGAGGGUGCAAGCGUUAUCCGGAUUCACUGGGUUUAAAGGGUGCGUAGGUGGGCAGGUAAGUCAGUGGUGAAAUCUCUGGGCUUAACCCGGAAACUGCCGUUGAUACUAUCUGUCUUGAAUAUAGUGGAGGUGAGCGGAAUAUGUCAUGUAGCGGUGAAAUGCUUAGAUAUGACAUAGAACAUCGAUCGCGAAGGCAGCUCGCUACACUAUGAUUGACACUGAGGCACGAAAGCGUGGGGAUCAAACAGG